Long non-coding RNA from Panthera uncia (snow leopard), 676 nucleotides. RefSeq lists it as uncharacterized. Lineage: Eukaryota; Metazoa; Chordata; Mammalia; Carnivora; Felidae. The record is from RefSeq and is a predicted model, not a curated record. The transcript is spliced from 3 exons.
AGCAGCCAACGCGCCCCCUCCCGGCCGGCCGUUGCGCCGCGCCCCCGACGAGCCCCGCCCCCGAGGAGCCCCGCCCCACCGAGAAGAGCGUUGCGCUGGCCGCCUAGAGACCACCUCCAGGUGUGGCUACAAAGCCAACUCGCAGGGGACUGCUUUCAGCGUGCCGGACCGAAGUCACUACCCACCAGUUUGUAAACUUUACAGAAGAAGUGCUUCACUUUAAGCAAUGAAGAACGUCAAGUUCGCCGUAUUAACCCAGACGCCGGACCCUCUCCUUGGGACCCUCCCGCUGAACCGAACCCUGCCGCAAGUCUGGCAGGGGGCACCAACCUUCGUCGAGGGCUCUGUUGACCGCGGCGCACAGGGACCAGUACCCGCUAGACUUAAAUCUCCAUGGAUAAUAUGAAAUGUUCACACCUUGAAACUCAACUAUUAAAAAUAAUCAACAGUAGUCAUCUCUAGUUAUUGACAGUAAGGAAUCUUGGAAUUGGAAAAUUUGGGGAGGAUUUGGAAUUUUUAAGUUUGACAACUGUGCCCCCAGAGAAGCAGAACAUCAUCCCUCCAGUUUCUUCAUUUUGGUAAGAAAAAGAAACUUUAAGGACUUCACUAUGAUUUGCUUUUCCAGACAAAGUCACCAGCACAUUAAUAUUGUUGUUGAAUAAAUGUAAAUCUGUUG